AAUUGAUAUUGUUUUUCACGAAGUUCAUCUCUUUCCUUAGUGUUUGUUUCUCCUUUAGUCUUAUGAGAAAAUGAGACGAUUUCGGAUAUUUGAUUAUAGUCUCAGAGAAGAAGCAUCAGCAGUAGUGUUUCUGCCACUCGUAAAGGCGAUCUUGUGUUCGUUGUCAAUCCUAAAGGGUGCCAAUGGAAGAACUGGUAAGGAAUGGAAAAAAUUAUUACCCUAUUUAAGGAUUCAUCUUGGUCAACAUCGAAAUAUUUUUGAAAUUGCAAGGGAGAAAUUUUCAAUUUUUUCUCUGAGCAUUUGGUUACUAGGAUUUCAAUGAGCUGCAGAUUUUUUUUCUUUUCUUUUUGGUUGCAGUCGGAGGCGAUGGUACUCCUUUCAUGAGGUUGUAAAUCGCCUCUUCUGGGCAGAAAUACCUGUUUCAGCUCACAAUGAGGGGAACAAUCAUGCAACUUUCCUUCGUAGCAGUAUACAUCACUGCUCAGCAUCCGUACAUGUGCUGAUGGAAGAAUGGUUGCCUGGACAGCUCUUGCUCAACAUCGAAACAGUACCAAUACUCUUUCUUUGGUACAAAACAAGCACUUGGUUUUAACCUUCAUGGUUGUGGCUCAGGACCUUUCUGGUAUUGUAUCCAGCUGGAAUUACCUGCGAAGAUGGUGUAAUAUGUAUCUUUCUGCACUACAUAAAGGUAAUGAAUUCAAUCCUAUUCCGCGUGUUUGAUUUAUCAAUGUUUACAUUGACAUUUAUCAGCAAAGAAAAACCUUCAGUCAUUAACAAUGUCAUACUCUUCUAGAGAGAUUUUUGGGGUCUCCUAGAAUGAACUCACACGGCCGGGAACACUUCCUUAAUGUCUAAAACUCAUUGCCCAAAGUUUAGUUCUUAGUCAUGCAAGAACUCCGUGGACAACUGCAGAUAGAGAAAAACUACCUUAACUCGGGAAUGGAUAACAUUUAGUCCUACUGGCGAUUUAUCAGUGCUUACUUGUUUGCAAUUGGGUGAAUUUGCUGGUUAAUGGAGACGUCAUAAUAAGCUUAAAUUUUAUCUGGUUGGUGAAAUUUGUAAAAGGAGUUAUUAAUUGGGAAAUCGACAAAGGAACCUGUUCUUAGGCCGAGUCUAGUGGUCAUAUCCAAUUCAAGAUUCAACUUACCAAUCCACAUCAGCUUGAAUUGGAAACUGUGUCUAGUGGUUAGAAGAAUUCCAAGCGCUAAACCAUUUAGCGCCAACAAGUCCUGCCCAUUGAUCUCUAACCACUAAAAAAUCAAUGGCCGAGAUUGUUUUGUGCUAAAUGGUUUAGUGAAAUAGCAAAAACCUUUCGCUAAUCAUCCCAUGCUUCUUCUCUGAUUCAGGCUUCCCCUUGAACCAGAAGUUGAAACAAAUUAAGGAAUACACCACUGUUUUUGAAGUUGAAUGACCACUAGAUUCAGUCAUAUACUUUCUAUUGCUUGCUUAUUGUAGUACAAGUUGAUAAAUUUUAUAAUAUGCUGGAACUUUGUGGGCUGUUAAAUAAUAAUGGUGGUGCUAGAGGAGAAAGUGAAAUCAGAACUAGUUCGGCCACAAGAAUCUGAGAUUUAACUUUUAAAGAGAUAGCUACUCCUACUGCCAAGGAAAACACGAAGGAUAAAAAAGACAACCGCUGGGAGCUAGGCCAUCCACUGGUUGUUCUAGCUUGUACAUCCUUAAGCAGAGGAGAAAGUGAAAUCAGAUCUGGCUAGGCUACAAGAAUACUCCUAUUGUCUGUCUGUAAAGCUCAAGAUUUUUCCAGGGAAAAGAAGAACGAGAAAAAAGACCAGCUCCGUGAGUUAAGCCAUGUAUUUUGUGUGUUCUAGAUUCUACAUCUGCGAGGAUUGUACCAAAGGUCUUCCGUUCUUUUAUGUGUUUCCCUAGGUGCUUCAGUAAUUUUAUAUGUAUUUGGUUGCUAUUUGCUAUAGCUUGCAGUGGCACUUAACGUGAAUUAGCACUCCAUCCUGUAGUAAAUUGCAACAACUUUUUCACCUUUUCAUAUAUGCAGAGUGUAAAAUUUGUCCUUUGGAUUGCGAACA
RNA transcript from Papaver somniferum (opium poppy), 2039 nucleotides. RefSeq lists it as uncharacterized. NCBI's taxonomy places the organism in Eukaryota, Viridiplantae, Streptophyta, Magnoliopsida, Ranunculales, Papaveraceae. The record is from RefSeq and is a predicted model, not a curated record. The transcript has 7 exons.